GGUAUAUUGUUUGGAAUCAAUUACAAGUAGAUUAUAUGAGUAUGACUCAACAAAUGCAGCCUUCCCUAAACUCACAAAAAUGUUAGUGCAAGAAGAGGAACUGAAUGAUAUACAACAUCAAUAAGUUCAAAGUUUUAUCUAUAGCAAAAUAUAACACUACAGUAACACGAUCUCACCCUUGCUGCUGGAAUUUGACAUGCUGAUUUUUCAUCAUUGUUGCCAAGUAUGUUGUUAAAUGUAAAUCUGAUCCUACCAAUGAGAGGGGCAUUCAAUAAUCCGAUACUCGUUGAGAACAAAGCUUGGCAUAGCCUUAUAAACGACAUACACCUCUCCACCUAUAUAUUAAUUUAAAUUUUAAACUUUUUGGUCGAUGUUCUGACAAAUAUCAAGGUAAUAAAACACUUUUUGUAUCUGAAUAAGUAAUUAUGAUAAUCUACAUGGCUUAAACUAUAAUCAUCGCUAAUUUAGAUGGUAAUUUAGAAAUAUGCAACAGGAAAGAGUCCAAGAAUAACAA
This 514-nucleotide unclassified non-coding RNA is filed under the name Hevea brasiliensis (rubber tree). The record is from RNAcentral. Lineage: Eukaryota; Viridiplantae; Streptophyta; Magnoliopsida; Malpighiales; Euphorbiaceae.